RNAcentral lists this ribosomal RNA (966 nucleotides) under Hypoxylon polyporus. RNAcentral's name for it is "partial large subunit ribosomal RNA". It matches the Rfam family "Eukaryotic large subunit ribosomal RNA", at positions 40 to 1033 of the family's 3401-position model. The record is from RNAcentral. Lineage: Eukaryota; Fungi; Ascomycota; Sordariomycetes; Xylariales; Hypoxylaceae.
AUAUCAAUAAGCGGAGGAAAAGAAACCAACAGGGAUUGCCCUAGUAACGGCGAGUGAAGCGGCAACAGCUCAAAUUUGAAAUCUGGCCCUCGCGGUCCGAGUUGUAAUUUGUAGAGGAUGCUUUGGGCGCGGCGCCUUCCAAGUUCCCUAGAACGGGACGCCUUAGAGGGUGAGAGCCCCGUACGGUUGGACGCCUAGCCUAUGUAUAGCUCCUUCGACGAGUCGAGUAGUUUGGGAAUGCUGCUCUAAAUGGGAGGUAAAUUUCUUCUAAAGCUAAAUACCGGCCAGAGACCGAUAGCGCACAAGUAGAGUGAUCGAAAGAUGAAAAGUACUUUGAAAAGAGGGUUAAAUAGCACGUGAAAUUGUUGAAAGGGAAGCGUUUGCGACCAGACCUUUUCCAGGCGGAUCAUCCGGCGUUCUCGCCGGUGCACUUCGCCUGGUUUAGGCCAGCAUCGGUUUUCCCAGGGGGAUAAAGGCGGCGGGAACGUAGCUCUUUCGGGAGUGUUAUAGCCCGCCGCGUAAUACCCUUGGGGGGACCGAGGACCGCGCUUCGGCAAGGAUGCUGGCGUAAUGGUCGUCAACGACCCGUCUUGAAACACGGACCAAGGAGUCGAACAUUUGUGCGAGUGUUUGGGUGUCAAACCCUCACGCGUAAUGAAAGUGAACGGAGGUGAGAGCCCCUCGCGGGUGCAUCAUCGACCGAUCCUGAUGUCUUCGGAUGGAUUUGAGUAAGAGCAUAACUGUUCGGACCCGAAAGAUGGUGAACUAUGCGUGGAUAGGGUGAAGCCAGAGGAAACUCUGGUGGAGGCUCGCAGCGGUUCUGACGUGCAAAUCGAUCGUCAAAUCUGCGCAUGGGGGCGAAAGACUUAUCGAACCAUCUAGUAGCUGGUUACCGCCGAAGUUUCCCUCAGGAUAGCAGUGUUGUCUUCAGUUUUAUGAGGUAAAGCGAAUGAUUAGGGACUCGGG